ACGGGAGGCAGCAGUAGGGAAUAUUGCACAAUGGGGGAAACCCUGAUGCAGCGACGCCGCGUAAGUGAAGAAGUUAUUCGUAAUGUAAAGCUCUAUCAGCAGGGAAGAAAAUGACGGUACCUGACUAAGAAGCCCCGGCUAACUACGUGCCAGCAGCCGCGGUAAUACGUAGGGGGCAAGCGUUGUCCGGAAUGACUGGGCGUAAAGGGCGUGUAGGCGGCCGAUUAAGUCCGGAGUGAAAGUCCUGCUUUCAAGGUGGGAAUUGCUUUGGAGACUGGUUGGCUUGAGUGCGGAAGAGGUAAGUGGAAUUCCCGGUGUAGCGGUGAAAUGCGUAGAGAUCGGGAGGAACACCAGUGGCGAAGGCGACUUACUGGGCCGUAACUGACGCUGAGGCGCGAAAGCGUGGGGAGCGAACAGGAUUAGAUACCCUGGUA
RNAcentral lists this ribosomal RNA (434 nucleotides) under uncultured Clostridium sp. Its description in RNAcentral is "partial 16S ribosomal RNA". It matches the Rfam family "Bacterial small subunit ribosomal RNA", at positions 341 to 792 of the family's 1533-position model. Lineage: Bacteria; Bacillati; Bacillota; Clostridia; Eubacteriales; Clostridiaceae. The record is from RNAcentral.